AAUCAACGCUGGCGGCGUGCUUAACACAUGCAAGUCGAGCGGUAAGGCCCUUUCGGGGGUACACGAGCGGCGAACGGGUGAGUAACACGUGGGUGACCUGCCCUCAGCUCUGGGAUAAGCCUGGGAAACCGGGUCUAAUACCGGAUAUGACUCCAUGACGCAUGUUGUGGGGUGGAAAGCCUUGUGCGGCUGAGGAUGGGCCCGCGGCCUAUCAGCUUGUUGGGGGGUGA
This 230-nucleotide ribosomal RNA is filed under the name uncultured bacterium. RNAcentral describes it as "partial 16S ribosomal RNA". It matches the Rfam family "Bacterial small subunit ribosomal RNA", at positions 32 to 259 of the family's 1533-position model. The record is from RNAcentral.